Long non-coding RNA from Thunnus maccoyii (southern bluefin tuna), 4647 nucleotides. RefSeq lists it as uncharacterized. The transcript has 4 exons. The record is from RefSeq and is a predicted model, not a curated record. Lineage: Eukaryota; Metazoa; Chordata; Actinopteri; Scombriformes; Scombridae.
CUUUUGUUAUUGAUUUGAUUGAGAGACCCCUAGCGGCUGAAAUCACAUAUUGUGUGUUUAAUACACCCAUGGUGUGAACACCAUUUAGGUCCUAAACUGCCAUGCAUGCACAGAUUUAACUGAAAUGUGAGCCGCAUGCGUACAAGAACAACAACAAUAACAGACAAAUCACAAACAUGGAUGAUACAGCUGUUCUAGCAUUCCCUAACAAUAAGUUCCUUCCAGUUUGGCUUGGAUAGAUGCUUCUCCAUAAACUUUCCGACAAAUAUGAAAUUUCGUCGUCUCUCCAUUGACCUCCGUUGCUGUUGUUGCUCUCCUGUGUGUUUAUUUUUACUGGGCUGUGAGAGGCCAGGCAAUAUGUGCAGAGUGAAACCAAGUGAAACCAUAUGAAUUCCAAUCUGACCGUACCGUAGCCAGAGAUCGGAUAUGAAUCAGAUCUUGGACCGCAUAUGCAAGCGGCCAAGAUCUGAUAUGAAAAAAAUCUGAUUUUUUUUGUUCAGACUUGUGUGAAAAAAUCAAAUCUGAGUCAGUCGGAUUUGGACCACUUCAGCAUGUAAUGUGAAUGUAGCUUAAAUUCAUUUAACCUGACUGCAAAAUACAAUGUAAGUUAUUAGUCAUUCUUAACUCAGGCUUUUCUCUAUUUCAUAUUUACUUCAUGAAAACUAAUUGGUUGCAAGUAUAAACUUGGAAAAAGCACAACUUCAGAAGCAUUUUGUAGUGUUCAGUUCAGGUUUCUAACCUACUGUAGUGCUUAAACAUACAAUAUGCAAAAUCUGAUUCAAAUAUGAUUCCUUUGUCUUUCCUUUGCAUAUGAACAUUUAUAAUACUUAAGAUGGUUUAAUUAACAGCAGCUAAUUCAGAUUAUGCCUCCCUUUCAUUUGAAAUGAGUACAAAACUGGCUUUACAUUGUGAGAAAACGGAAUGAAUCUAGUAUUGCUCAAACCUCCAUUUCACCUUUUUUCAUAGUAUCAAUAUCCAACCAAAUACCUAGGGAGAUUUUUGGAAGCUGUGUUAACAGAUAUUAUUGAUUCACAAUUGGCUCUACUUCUGCUCCUUUUAACUCCUUCAACUAACACAUUACAAUAGCUGUGUAAAUCAUUCACUUUGCCUGUUGGUCCUAGCGGAAAAGAAACCUAUUCCAACAAAAUGAGAGGUUUGUUUGUGUAAAAUCAGGUCCAGUAGUGUGUUGUCACUUUGCAUCCACCAGUAAGCUAAUUUCAACCUUGAUUAUAUUACUGUGGUUGUUGUUCCCUUUAGAUGGUGUACGGCUUCCACUCCAUCUGUGCCCCUUUUGUUCGUUAAAGAUGUUUUUUCAGAGUAAGAAGAGAAACAAGGAGAGGGGAGGCGGGGGGAGCAAUCAUAGACAGAUACACUAUACACCUGAAGGACAUGAAUUUGAAUGCUUUUUUAUUCUUAACAACAUAUGAGCAAAAUGUUCUUUCUCAUGUCUGCAUGUACUUCUACUACUAUUAAUACCGAAACUCCAUUUAUAAGUGCAGUGAUGUCGGGGCCUGGGUCAUAGCUAAAUCCUUGUGUUGUGUGCUCACCAUUUUAAUCCAAGCUUAUACCUUAUAUGAAUAUUCCCUUUUCACUUUCACUCUUUUUAUAUAUAAAUAUAUGUAUGUAUGUAUGUAUGUAUGUAUGUAUGUGCUCACUGCUCGACAGGGGAGGUAGAGACAGAGAUGCACUUCCUCCUCCACUGUGAGAUGUUCUCUUCAGUAAGAGACUUCCACUACCAAAGGAAAUAACAAACAAAUACCAAACGUCCAAAUGUUAACUCCAGAGGAGAAAUUGGCAGUUCUCCUGGGUGAAGGGACAGCAGCUCCUCUAGCAGCUAAAUAUGUAUCUGCCUGCCACAGCCUGACAGACUCACAAUCACUGUAAAAUCUAUAUUUAUAAGAUAUUAAGUAACUGUAUCAUAUUCUAUAAAACUGUGUUGUACGUUACUGUAUUGUAUUACCAUCAAAUAAUGGACUGCAUCAGUAUUAUAAAGAACCUGCAUGUGACACCUGUAUGUUUAAUAUGUAUAUGUAAUAUGUAUUAUAUGAAUCUUCUGUAAACUGCUUUGGCAACAACAUGAGCAUUUGGGCAGUAGAUAAAAGAUGUCUGUCAAUACCAGGGUUGCUAACUCUCACAUACUUUGCUGCCCAAACAACUGUCAAGACAAAACACUAUGACAGCAACACAGAUGAACAGGCGAAUAUAUUAUGGUCAAAGUAUUUCUGGUAUAGUAAUGGUUAAACCUGGUGAAUAUCUUGGACUCUACAAGACAGCUGAGCAUUCAAAAAGUGGGUGUUUCCAUGGAGCUGCAUCUUAAAUUACUCUCUGAUUGGUGCGUAGUGCUUAUCACCUUGAUAAUCGGACAGCUGCUCAAGUUCACAGCUAGGACCCCAGAAGGUGUUCAAGCAAGCCAGCCACACUCCAUCUAACCUGGUAUGAACCAAGACCUCUAACUUGGUAUUGGUCUGACUGCAAAGGCCAUGCUGAUGAGGCUGGAUGAAACUGGUGAGAUUCCCUCGGGUGAAGUCACCAAAUUUUACAAGGCAGCAAGAGGCUUCCUGCUAAGAUGUACGGAUACGCAUUGAAGAAGCUAACGUUACUGAAUGAUCCCCUGCUGCCAUAUGCUGAGUUUGUGGACUUUAAGCAGAGACAAGACUUGCAUGUAGAUGAUGUGCUCUACUUUGUCCAAAGGCUUCACCGGCAGCUGUGAUGGGUGAGAAAAGACUACUCUCUGAGAUACGAUCGCCUUCUUCCUUUUGAGGAUCCAAGGGACCAGGACAGGAUUUCAGGUGAGUUUCUGGAGUACUAGAUGCCGGAGGAAACAGCCAUACCUGACACCGUCUGGAAAGGUGCCCUGGUGAGUGUUGAAGAAGAAGACCGAUUCCAUUGUAUGGACAUGGUGUCUGAACAACUGGUGAAUCACAGUUCCCAGACUCAGGAAGGUGGCACAGCUUGUUCUAUGCUUACCUCACUCUAAUGUAGAUGCAGAACGAGUCUUCUCAACAACUGGCCUGAUCAAAACAGUGUAGAAACAGACUUGAACUAGAUGGGAAGCUGUUGUCCAUUAUGUGCAUUAAAAGUAAUCAGGUCACACCGUGCUGCUACAAACAUGAACUGCUGGUAGAAAUGAUAAUCUAGUCCGAGUCUGCUGCUUGUAGUUGUACUAGGCUAAAAUAGGCCCCUGUGUGUGUGUGUGUGUGUGUGUGUGUUUGAGAGAGAGCGCAAGUGUGUAAGUGAGUAAAUGAGUUAGUGAGUGUUCAUGUAUAUAUUUGGCUGGGUGAGUAAGCAUGGUCGUGUAGAUUUGGCUGUGUGAGUGAGUGUGUAUUUGUGUGUGUGUGUGUGUGUGUGUGUGUGUGUUCAUGUAUCAGCUAUGUGUCUGGAGUAGGAUAGGUUUUUUUUUAAUUUAUGGUUCUUGCUACCAUUCUGAUUCUCUUCUUCCAAUAAGCCCUUGUUAUUGCCUUUUUAACUUAACAUUAUUCAAUAAAACAUUGUAGUUUUAAUAUCGGAAACAACAUGACUUUCAUUAGUGAACCAACCUGUGUGCGCUUUAUUGGGUUAGUGUAUGUCUAAUAUUGUGAAAUUGUUAGGAUAGCAUAGCCAGGCUAUAUCCUUAAAUCUUAGAUCUAAGCUGCUGCUCCCGCCUCAUGUGUAAGCUGCAUACUGUUUUAAAUCCUGAUGGUGAAUUGAGUCCAAACAUCUGCAUGUGAUUAAGUCAGCAUAUGCGUUUGCGUGAUUAAGCCCAUGGCAUCAAAAUCUCACUCCAGCCAGGUACCCAAAGUCGGCAACCCUGCAAUACUUGCUUACAGAUCUGACAAAAUGGUGGAUGUAACAAUGUCAGUUUGCAACUCCUGCAGAACUGUGACAGUAAGGGUUGCUACUAGCAACAGAAUGGGGGCUUGAUAACUACACACUUUAACUGUGCUAGCUCCCUCCCAUCAUAUUUAAAAAAAUGCAACAGAGUGGAGGGCAAUGACUUGUGGCUGUGUAGUGUGUGAUGCAGAGGGUGAGGGGACAUCGACUGACCACCACUCAGUGUAACAUGAAUAGCGUGAAUAGCGAUUUAGAGCUGGUAGUCAGAGUUAACCAGCCAUGAGCAGCUGCUGUCAGACUUUCUGUGUCCGUGCUGGAAACAAAGAGAGUCCACUGGAGCUUUGACAGUCACUAGAAGCACAUUCAGGCCCUUUGUAAAAGUUUCUGUGUGGUUCCUGUGUUGUAGCUGAGCUAGUGGCUCUUCUACAAGAGACUCUCCAGUGUGAGUGUGUCUGUGGGGGAGUGUCAGUAUGUAGUGGUAGCCCUGCUGUUUAUCGUGUUAAUAUUACCAUCAUCAGCCCUGGAUAUCUUGUGAAGCUCUGAAUAUAGCAGAGUUGUGUUGUGUUUACUGCCACAGUAAAGGAAUACAUUUCUUGUUCAUGUACAAUGUCGUCUCUGCUGUCUUUUAUCAGGCUUGCUAUAUUUGAGAGGCACAAACUGAGGCUGAGGUAUUGCUGUUUGCUUGACAUAUGAUAUAGACCUCAGAGUCUUGCCUGUUAUGUCACGAUUAGGGAGGGGCGGAGAAUUCAGCUCAACUGAAUUUUCAAAUCCAAGCAGACACCAAUAAGCUAAUUUUGAACAGAAAAAACAGUUUAAAUGUGAAGAAUAUAUAUAUAU